Molecule: ribosomal RNA, 392 nt
Filed under: uncultured bacterium
Lineage: Bacteria
Description: partial 16S ribosomal RNA
Rfam family: Bacterial small subunit ribosomal RNA
Source: RNAcentral
AUACGGAGGAUCCGAGCGUUAUCCGGAUUUAUUGGGUUUAAAGGGUGCGCAGGCGGGGGAUUAAGUCGGCGGUGAAAUUUUGGGGCUCAACUGUAAAAGUGCCUUCGAAACUGGUUUUCUUGAGUGUAGAAGAGGAAGGCGGAAUUUGUGGUGUAGCGGUGAAAAGCAUAGAUAUCACGAGGAACUCCGAUUGCGCAGGCAGCUUACUAAACUACUACUGACGCUCAGGCACGAAGGCGUGGGGAUCAAACAGGAUUAGAUACCCUGGUAGUCCACGCAGUAAACGAUGAUUACUAGCUGUUUGCGAUACAAUGUAAGCGGCUGAGCGAAAGCGUUAAAUAAUCCACCUGGGGAGUACGUUCGCAAGAAUGAAACUCAAAGGAAUUGACGGG